Molecule: ribosomal RNA, 229 nt
Filed under: uncultured bacterium
Lineage: Bacteria
Description: partial 16S ribosomal RNA
Rfam family: Bacterial small subunit ribosomal RNA
Source: RNAcentral
CCCAAAAAAGACAGUCUCAGUUCGGAUUGAAGGCUGAAAUUCGCCUUCCAUGAAGCCGGAAUUGCUAGUAAUGGCAGGUCAGCAUACUGCCGUGAAUACGUUCCCGGGCCUUGUACACACCGCCCGUCACACCAUGAGAGUUGGGAAUACCCGAAGCCUGUGAGCUAACUUUUAGAGGCAGCAGUCGAAGGUAGAAUCAAUGAUUGGGGUGAAGUCGUAACAAGGUAAC